CAAUUUUUUAAUGAAUAAUUUUUUCUACUCUCAUUUUUUGUGAAAGUAUUUUCUAUACUAGAAAACAACAUAGAGGAGUAAUAUUAAACAAGAAAGUAUUGAUCGGGAUCGUCAGGCUUCUGCUCCACCGUAGUGCGUGUUUCUCCCUUUCCUUUCGCAUGAAUUAGCUAUUCCUCCCCCCUGAGAUUAAGAUGUCCAGUGAGUCCUCUCGGGCUGUCUCCCCUAUUCACAGCUAAAUUGGGCCCCCACGGCUGGAACCUCCAGACGAGGCGAACUUUGAACUAAAUCUGGAUGCAGAGACUGAAGACCUGCUAGAUUCAAAAGCCAACUUGACCCUUGUUGGGAAGAUCUUAGAUGGAAAGCCCUUCCGUCAGCAAGCGGUGAAUGAUGCUCUCGUCUCGGUGUGGCAUCUCGUCGGUGAAGUCCAUAUUACAUAGAAUCUCCAUGUGCCAUCGAAAAAACUUACUAUUGAUACUUUUGUGUGUACUUUCAUUGAUCUUCGCAUUGGUGUGAAAUAUUGAUCGGGAUCCUCAGGCUUUCGCUCUGCCGUAGUGCGUGUUUCUCUUCCGCCGUAGUGCGUGUUUCUCCCUUUCCUUUCGCCUGAAUUAGCUAUUCCUCCCCCCUGAGAUUAAGAUGUCCGGAGAUCCUCUCGGGCUCUCUCCCCUAUUCACAGCCAAACUGAGCCCCCACAGCCGGAACCUCCAGACGAGGCAGACUUUGAACUAAAUCCGGAUGCAGAGACUGAAGACCUGCUGGAUUCACAAGCCAACUUGACCCUUGUUGGGAAGAUCUUGGAUGGAAAGCCUUUCCAUCAGCAAGCGGUGAAUGAUGCUCUCGUCUCGGCAUGGCAUCUCCUUGGUGAAGUCCAUAUUACGCCGGUGGCCUCUCACAAAUUCAUCUUCCACUUCAGUCACCCUUUGGAUGUUAAGAAUGUCCUAGAAGGCAGCCCAUGGUCGGUGUCUGGGAACCUGCUAGUCCUAGAGUGGUGGAAUCCCAUAGGGGAUUGGACAUUCCAGUUUACUGAGUUUUGGACCCAACUACACGGCAUUCCUACAGAUCUUAUUCACCCUGAUUUGGGAUUUCAGUUGGGAUCAAAGAUCAGGGUUACCAGUUGUGUUACGAUUAUCCAAGGCUCCCGCAUCGCAGGGCCUCUUCCAUUCCUGCGCAGCCGCAUCUCUCUGGACCUCAAUAAACCUCUAAAACCUCGGUUGCAGAUUAAUCACAGGAAUGGUGUACAAAUCCCUAUUGAAGUCAAAUUAGAUUGAUUGCCCAUAUACUAUUACUUCUGUGGCCAUAUCAGACAUGAGGAAAGAAGAUGCGAAGCUUGGUUCUUAGAACAUAAGAAACAUAAGCGAUCCCACGGCUGUGACUCGUCAGAGGUUUGCCCUGAAGCUCCUCAAUCUCUAUUUGCUAGUUUUCUUCAGAAUCCCAGCCCUGAACCCCGCCUUAUGGAAGCCGCUCGGACUAUCAGAGACCCCCCCGCUCUACUCCCCAGGGCCAGACUGAACUGCACUCCAUGCCAUCCCGUCUCAACAGUGCCGAUGUCGGAGAAGAAGCCUAUACCCCCAUCCAUCAACAGGACCGUACACGCGUGCCUGUGUCCGAACCAACCCAUCCACGUGGCGACACCCUAUAUGCUACUUCACUGUCCCCCUCUCAGUCUCUCGGUCACCAUAUCCCUCACUCCCAGGCCACUGCCACUGCACAUCCUAGCUUUGUCUUUCCCAUAACGGUCCACUGAUUAGAGAAACAGACUCUCUGCCACCUCAUCAUUCUUUCACCCAUCCUGCACCCCACAUUAUUGCCGAGGAUCCUUCUCAUCAAAUCCUCUCUACCCUCCAAGCUCACAUACAGAAUUAUCCUGAUCAGCGACACCUCUUAUCUAAUAUCCUUCCUCUACUCUCGGGAAUCCGCAUCUCCAACCCUUAUAUGGACCCAGUUACUGUCUUGACCCGCCAACUGAUGGAAAACCACAAAACCUCUAUAACCCAGCACCUUUACUCACGUUCUACCCUCUCCCUGAAGUCCUGAACCAUGUCCUAAUACCGCCUCCUCCAACUCUAUUUUGAGUUUAGACAAGAAUUCUUAUCCCCACAAUACUCCUCCUUUACCGUUGCACCACCCCUCCAUUAACCCUCCAGCUGAGAACCUCCCUUCCCCUACUAUUGACCAACAGCCACACCUACCUGAUCUAUAUAUUCUGAUAACCGUUUCGCCGGCACCCUCUCACCAUGUUUCAAGAAAAAAGAAGAUGACACAAGGGGAAGAACAUGCUCCUGGCCAUUCACACAAUCUGAGACCCACAAAACCGAGGAUCUUCAGUCUCAAGCCAAAAGGGUGAAGCAAACACAAUCAAAGGCAGCUGCUCGCAUCAUGUUAGAGUCUCUAUCUACUGAAGAUUUUUUAAUGGAUGGCCCCUCGGCUGCUGGGGGAAAUCAGCACCACCCGGAGUUAUGAGAAUAAUUUUAUGGAACAGUCAGGGUUUGGGAAAGCCCCUAAGAGUCCGUUCUCUCCAGUAUCUUUCCUAGUCUACUCGCCCAGAUUUAAUAUUCCUUAUGGAGACUCGUUGCAUGCGAAGAAGAUUAAUCAUAUUGCCCAGUGCAUUAAGUUACCACCAUACUUCUCGAUGCCGCUGAUCAACACGAGAGGUGGUCUGACUCUGUUUUGGGAUGCCAAUUCGGUGGUGGAGAUUCUUCAUAAAGACCAGUAUUUCAUUGAUUCCCAGGCAUAUUAUAUGGGAUAAAAUUUUGGGUUUGUCUUCAAACCGUAAUGAAAAUUGGCUAUGCUUGGGUGAUUUCAAUUCCUUCUUAUCCUGAUUCCUGGCACGAAAAGAUAGGGGGCUCUUCUAGGGGCGGAAGGGACAUGUUGCAAUUCAGAGAUUUCAUUGAUGCUUGUGGGCUUAUUGAUAUUGGCUCUUAUGGCCAGCAUACACUUGGAAUAACCGGAGAGGGGGGUCCUCUAACAUCAGAAUUAAGCUUGACCGCGCCCUUUCCAAUCUCUCUUGGAGAACUGCCUUUGCCGAGGCUAUUGUUUCUGUCCGGACACUCUCUGGUUCUGAUCGUCUUCCAAUAGUUGUUGAUACGGAGGGAGGAAAGUCAUCGGGAGCUCGUCCUUUUCGCUUUAAAAAUAUGUGGUUCACUCACCCAGAUUGUAAGAAAAUGGCAGCUAAAGCGUGGUCCCUUCCUUGUAUGGCCAGAGCUUAUGAUACUCCCUUCAACAAAGGCCAAAAUUGCAAAACAACUCGUACAAAAUGGAACAGGGAGGAAUUCGGGAACGUCAAGCUGAAAAUAGAAGGAUAUCUUCGCGACCUUGAGCUUCUCUAUGAUCAGCCAUCUGAGAGAUCCCAAUUUAAGGAGAAGGAAAUUGAAAAUCUUCUGAAUAUUGAGCUGGAAAGAGAGGAAUUAUUGUGGCAGCAGAAAUCCAGAACGCAAUGGCUUCAAAGUGGGGACCGAAAUACUAAGUUCUUUCAGGCCGUUACCCUCCAAAGAAGAAUUAGAAAUAAAAUUCUUAAGCUCCGUGGGCAUCGGGUGAGUGGGCUAACUCAGAGAAGGAAAUCAGUUCAGAAGUGCUCAACCGUUACAAGGAUAUUUUUACCUGGGAAGAUGUUGAUCAGGACGCCCUUAAUAUUGUUACUCAAGCUAUUAAGCCAGUGGUCACUGAUGCGAUGAAUGAGGACCUCUGUAGAGCUCCUAGCUUAGAGGAAAUUGAUCAAGCUCUCAGAGAUAUGGCCCCCUCUAAAGUCUCCUGGCCCUGACGGCCUCCCUCCAGCAUUCUUUCAGUGGAAUUGGGAUAUUGUUCAAGAUGAUGUGGUGCGGUUUGUUCAGGAAUUUUUUGUAAAAAGACACUCUCCUCCAACCUAAACACCACUCACAUCUACCUUAUUCCGAAAAUUAAUCAACCUGAGAAGGUGGAUAAAUAUAGACCGAUAGUUAAAGUGGUCACAAAAGUCUUUGCUACCCGGCUGAAACUGAUAUUGGAUUACAUCAUUGCUGCCUCUUAAUCCGCCUUUACUCCCGGUCGCCUAAUUUCGGACAAUGUCUUAUUGGUUCAUGAAUUAUUCCACUACAUCCGAAAGAAAAAGAAAGGGAAGAAAAUGCUGGUUGCCCUCAAGCUAGACAUGUCCAAGGCAUAUGGUCGCCUCGAAUGGCCCUUCGUGGAAAAGAUCCUACUUCGUUUGGGGUUCAGCGACAGAUGGGUCUCACUAGUUAUGUCAUGCAUCACCUCUGUUUCUUAUGGCAUUCUGGUUAAUGGAGCAGUUUGAGGUAAUAUUACUCCUUCGAGGGGUAUUUACCAAGGUGACCCUCUCUCACUGGCCAUAUUCGUCUUCUGUUCACCGGCUUUGAGCUUCCUUCUUCCUGUGGCUGAAGGUGAGGGCCUCAUCCAUGGCAUUAAAGUCCGAAAUCGACCUGCUCCACUCACCCAUCUUCUUUUUGCUAACGACAGCCUUCUAUUCUCUGAAGUUAAGCCGCAGGAAAUCCAUAACUUGAAGGACUGCCUCGAUCUUUACAGUAGGGCUAGCGGCCAACAAAUUAAUUGCCAGAAGUCUUCCCUCACCUUUAGUCCCAACACCAUUCCUCGCUUUAAGAGGUGGUUUUCAUUCUUAAGAUGCCAUAUGGAGAGGGACCGAAAAAAUAUUUGGGGUUGCCUACAAAGUUUGGUACAUCAAAGGUUGAGCUCUUUAAGGAAAUCAAGGACAAAACUUUGGGACGAAUACAGGGCUGGAAGCAAAAAUUAUUGUCCCAUGCUGGGAGGGAGGUGAUGAUCAAGUUAGUUUCCCUCUCUAUGAACACCUUUGCUUCAUCCCACUUCAAGUUACCUGCCUCGCAUCACUCUAAGCUCAGGAAUGCUUCCACUCACUUCUUUUGGGGAGAGUCCGGGGAGAAAAAUAACAUAUGUUGCAUUUCUUGGAAGCGGCUUUGUAGAUCUAAGGAGAAAGGGGGCCUUGGUUUUAGAGACUUAACAAUUCAGAAUAAGGCUCUCCUUGGGAAACUAGUGUGGCGCUUAUGGUGUUUCCUUAAUUCUCAUUGGGCCAUCCAUAUGAAGCAGAUUUAUUAUCCACAUGGGGAGUUUAUGGAGGCUCAGUUAGGCUCAAAUCCGUCUUGGGAAUAGAGAGGAAUCAUCGAGGGAAGGAAGGUGCUAAUUGAUGGUCUCAUAUAGGUUGUUGGUGAUGGGGCAAGCAUCAAGGUGUGGGAGGAUGCCUAGAUCCCCUUCACACCCAACCAUAGACCUCAGCAUACUUACUUGUACACUAACAGAGAGCUUCUGGUUUCGGAGCUUAUAGACCAUAAUAACCGCUCUUGGAAAUGUGAAGUCCUAGACUCAAUUUUCCACCCAGAUGACAAAGCCGCUAUUAUGAAGAUUAAUCUCAACCUGUUUCCCCAAUCAGAUUCAAGAAUUUGGAGUGUCCCUAAGGAUGGUAUCUAUUUGGGUAAGGCGGGGUAUCACUUUUUAUGCAACCAAGAGGACAGCAAGAGAAGAGCUUCAUCCGCCUCCUCUUCAAAUCAUCUCACUCACCAUAUCCCAGAUAAGAUUUGGAAACAAAUCUGGUCGUUCGCUCAACUCCAAAAUCAGGAACUUCUUAUUGGCAUGCUUGCUCUGGUGGGAUUGCUUCAGGUGCUCGAUUAAAGAAGCGAAACUUUAACAUUGACCCUGCCUGUCAUCGUUGUGGAGCCCCCUCAGAGACGGAGGAUCAUAUUUUACUUAACUGCCCUUUUUCCAGAGCAGUCUGGUUUGGCGCAAACCUAUCAUUCUCUCCUCCACAGUAGCUUCCCCAACUUAAGGACUUUAUUAGUGCAUGGGAUAGCCUACAGCCGUCCAAUAAAUAGCUGAACAGGGGACGUAGCGACUUCGGCAUCUUUCUUUUGUUGGGCAUUAUGGCUUAGUAGAAACUGCCUAUUGUUUAAGUGUGAGAAUCAAUCCCCUAUAGACGUAGUCCAAUAUGCUAAACGACAGAUCGAGGAAUUUCAACAAGCAACCACACCUCAGAGGAAGAAUGCAAGGAACCCCGUGGGAGGUAGGGAGCAAACGGGCUAGACCUUCCCCCUUCUCCUUUCUACAAGUUGAAUGUGAAUUUCUCAGCUCGUGGAGAGAAAGGGGGGCUGGGCUUCAUCAUUUGGGACACAGUUGGAGCCCAGACUCUGUCAGUCUCGGUGCCUGUGACUAUAAAUUCUCCUCUGCAGGGUGAAGCCUUAGCCAUGCGGACUGGACUCCUUCAUGCAAUCCUGGAAUGCAUUGAUGAUUUGGAAGCUGAGACCGAUUGUAGUGAGCUGUUUGGCUUUUAACCCAGCCGCUGUCAAACCCACCUCUUGAGACACUUCACUUGGUUAGGGACAUUCAGCACUUAGCCUCCUAUUUCAGAAAAUAUAUUUUCCUUCACACUUUCAGGGAGAUUAACAGUGUCGCUGACUCUUUGGCUAGGAA
This is a long non-coding RNA of Macadamia integrifolia, 6420 nucleotides long. RefSeq lists it as uncharacterized. Lineage: Eukaryota; Viridiplantae; Streptophyta; Magnoliopsida; Proteales; Proteaceae. The record is from RefSeq and is a predicted model, not a curated record. The transcript has 2 exons.